Molecule: long non-coding RNA, 308 nt
Organism: Thunnus maccoyii (southern bluefin tuna)
Lineage: Eukaryota; Metazoa; Chordata; Actinopteri; Scombriformes; Scombridae
Exons: 3
Source: RefSeq, a predicted model, not a curated record
GUGGUUUCCGACCGCAAGUGCACCUCUCACUGCACCGAGGACGUCAUUCCACGUAAAGGAGAGGUUCACAAUUUUUCAGGCAGUCAUGAAUAUCACAGUAACAGCAAGACUGGUGAUCGUGUUGAUAAAGGAGACAAUGACGAUGGUGAGGAUGAUGCCAUCGAUGGUGGAAAAGAGCAAAAACUCUGAGCAAAAGUGCUGUGAACAACUGACACCAGUAAGCACCUGAAGUCCAGCCCGGGAUCCUGCUUUGACUAGCCAGACCGGCGGAGCCGAAGAGAUGGAGGUUGGGGUAGAGGAGGAAGAGA